This 1011-nucleotide ribosomal RNA is filed under the name Mesorhizobium sp. Its description in RNAcentral is "partial 23S ribosomal RNA". It matches the Rfam family "Bacterial large subunit ribosomal RNA", at positions 218 to 1278 of the family's 2925-position model. The record is from RNAcentral. Lineage: Bacteria; Pseudomonadati; Pseudomonadota; Alphaproteobacteria; Hyphomicrobiales; Phyllobacteriaceae.
AAAGAAAUCAACCGAGAUUCCCUUAGUAGUGGCGAGCGAACGGGGACCAGCCCUUAAGUUGAUUUGAGAUUAGUGGAACGCUCUGGAAAGUGCGGCCAUAGUGGGUGAUAGCCCCGUACACGAAAAUCUCUUGUCAAUGAAAUCGAGUAGGACGGAGCACGAGAAACUUUGUCUGAAUAUGGGGGGACCAUCCUCCAAGGCUAAAUACUACUGACUGACCGAUAGUGAACCAGUACCGUGAGGGAAAGGCGAAAAGAACCCCGGAGAGGGGAGUGAAAUAGAACCUGAAACCGUAUGCGUACAAGCAGUGGGAGCCUACUUUGUUAGGUGACUGCGUACCUUUUGUAUAAUGGGUCAGCGACUUAUAUUCAGUGGCGAGCUUAACCGAAUAGGGGAGGCGUAGCGAAAGCGAGUCUUAAUAGGGCGUUUAGUCGCUGGGUAUAGACCCGAAACCGGGCGAUCUAUCCAUGGGCAGGUUGAAGGUUAGGUAACACUGACUGGAGGACCGAACCGACUACCGUUGAAAAGUUAGCGGAUGACCUGUGGAUCGGAGUGAAAGGCUAAUCAAGCUCGGAGAUAGCUGGUUCUCCUCGAAAGCUAUUUAGGUAGCGCCUCAUGUAUCACUCCAGGGGGUAGAGCACUGUUUCGGCUAGGGGGUCAUCCCGACUUACCAAACCGAUGCAAACUCCGAAUACCUGGAAGUGCCGAGCAUGGGAGACACACGGCGGGUGCUAACGUCCGUCGUGAAAAGGGAAACAACCCAGACCGUCAGCUAAGGUCCCAAAGUCAUGGUUAAGUGGGAAACGAUGUGGGAAGGCUUAGACAGCUAGGAGGUUGGCUUAGAAGCAGCCACCCUUUAAAGAAAGCGUAAUAGCUCACUAGUCGAGUCGGCCUGCGCGGAAGAUGUAACGGGGCUCAAACCAUGCACCGAAGCUACGGGUGUCAUCUUUGAUGACGCGGUAGAGGAGCGUUCUGUAAGCCUGUGAAGGUGAGUUGAGAAGCUUGCUGGAG